GUGCCAGCCGCCGCGGUAAGACAGAGGGUGCAAACGUUGUUCGGAAUUACUGGGCGUAAAGCGUGUGUAGGCGGCCUCGCAAGUCGGGUGUGAAAGCCCCAGGCUCAACCUGGGAAGUGCACUCGAUACUGCUUGGCUAGAGUGUCGGAGAGGUUGGUGGAAUUCUCGGUGUAGAGGUGAAAUUCGUAGAUAUCGAGAGGAACACCGGUGGCGAAGGCGGCCAACUGGACGAACACUGACGCUGAGACACGAAAGCGUGGGGAGCAAACAGGAUUAGAAACCCCGGUAGUCC
RNAcentral lists this ribosomal RNA (292 nucleotides) under uncultured bacterium. RNAcentral describes it as "partial 16S ribosomal RNA". It matches the Rfam family "Bacterial small subunit ribosomal RNA", at positions 505 to 796 of the family's 1533-position model. The record is from RNAcentral.